This 1453-nucleotide unclassified non-coding RNA is filed under the name Bombus terrestris (buff-tailed bumblebee). Its description in RNAcentral is "misc RNA ENSBTSG00005032044.1". The record is from RNAcentral. Lineage: Eukaryota; Metazoa; Arthropoda; Insecta; Hymenoptera; Apidae.
UAAGCAGGUGAAAAAUAAAAAUAGAGAUCGAGGCAUAAUUCGAACAAUUACUAUUUCUAUAAAUUACAAAGGUUUCAACUGCUCACAUUACCAAAGAAUGAAGAGCAAAAGUAUCCAGAAAAAGAACUAGACAAUUUCAUACAAUUUAACACGAGUCAAUCUUAAAAUACUCAAAUCAAAUUUUCAUAAACAAAAAUAUAAUUAACACAUUACCUGAAUUUCUAAGUCCACGUAUUUCCAUUUCCUAAAGUCGUUGUAUCUUCUAUGAAAUUCAUGUUUUUGAACAUCACACAUCAUCAAAAGUCCUUGAACCGGAACCUUGAACCUCGAUCAAACGGUUUGAGAGAUCACAGAGCGCUCUCGGCGACGAUCGACUUGCGUACAUCGCGUCACCGAUCCUCUGUCUACCGAAUGCACGAUCCUCCCAUCGAUUUGCGUCCCAUGCACUAUCAAUGAUUCGAAUUGUCCCGCAAUUUUACAUCCACACCGUUUCGAUUCGUCCUCGUAUCAGUUGUAUCCGGUAUAUACUUGAAUUGAGAGGUUAGAAACGGAUUAGAAUCUAUCGAUCGAUUUAUGAGAAGAUGAUCGAUCGGAAGGACGAGAAAGGUAAGAGUACCUAUACUUUCCAAGAGAUCCAUGUCCGUUGACCGGCAGCGUGGCACUGAGCUCUUAAGCGCAGGCUCAAUGAAACCAGCAAUCGCCAGGAAUUGCCUCGAAUUGGCCCAAUCAAACUACCCCCAUUCCGUGUGUACACGCGUAUAUUAACUGCUAAUUUCAUCGGCGGUAAUUAGCGCGCGCGAGCGCGCGCCUGUCACGCGCUGAUUUAAUUGCACUCUCGCGGACACUCUUUACUUCCUCCCCUACCAUCCUUACGGUGCAUCUUUUCCGUUGCGCCGCGCGAAACCGAUCGCGCCAUCGUUCCAGCCGCCUGGUCUCCUCGUUUUCGUCAAUGAGUUUGUUUACUCCAGAUCGAUGAAUCUCGUGACUACCUUUGUGAGUAGAUGAAACGACAAGAUUGGACAGAAGAACGGAGAAAAUUUAAUUAAAUAGAAUUCAUGAAUCAAGCAGCAGAAGUUUCAAGAAUCUUCAAUUUCCUCUAUAUCCAGACUGAAUCGACUGGAUCAAACUUCAAUGAAGUUGAAGGUGAUUGAAUGCGGGUGAUCGAGCGUGCGCGCACUCAUGCUUGCAGGAUAUCCGCGGAUGCAGGAGGCGGCUGACCGGGAGGAUGACGGCAAGCGCGCAAGAGCGAGAAGUCGGUAACUUAACUGGCCUAAAUGGGUUUAACUCGAUGUGAUUUUGCUGGCGAACCACUAAAUUGAACGAAUACGAACUAAACUGAACUCAACUAAGCUAAUCAUAUCACAUUACUAGCGUUAUUAGCCGAGAGACGAUAUAAGUGAAGGUCCGGUGGUGCCGGGCUGCAGUAACGGGUCGCCUCCUGCACUGACCCUCU